UACAGAGGUCCCGAGCGUUGUUCGGAUUCACUGGGCGUAAAGGGUGCGUAGGUGGCUGGGCAAGUUUGAUGUGAAGGCUCAGGGCUUAACCCUGAAAUGGCAUUGAAUACUGCCUGGCUGGAGGUUUGGAGGGGGGACUGGAAUUCUUGGUGUAGCAGUGAAAUGCGUAGAUAUCAAGAGGAACACCAGUGGCGAAGGCGAGUCCCUGGACAACACCUGACACUGAGGCACGAAAGCCGGGGGAGCAAACAGG
RNAcentral lists this ribosomal RNA (253 nucleotides) under uncultured bacterium. RNAcentral describes it as "partial 16S ribosomal RNA". It matches the Rfam family "Bacterial small subunit ribosomal RNA", at positions 524 to 776 of the family's 1533-position model. The record is from RNAcentral.